RNAcentral lists this long non-coding RNA (992 nucleotides) under Olea europaea subsp. europaea. Lineage: Eukaryota; Viridiplantae; Streptophyta; Magnoliopsida; Lamiales; Oleaceae. The record is from RNAcentral.
UCUUCUUCAACUCCAAAGCUUCAUCAACAGCCCCUCUGCCACACAACCCUCUAAUAACUACAUUAUAGGUAACUGUAUUCGGACUACAACCCUUCUCUCCCAUCUCAAAUAGAAUCCUUUUAGCCUCGCUGACAUUGCCAACCCUGAAAUGAGCACUGAUCAAACUAGUAUAAGUAUAUAUAUCAAAAUCCAUUUUCUUCUCCAUCAUUCCUUCGUAAACUUCCCAGAGUAACUCCAUUCUAUUACACCUCAACAAAUCAUUCAGUAAAGAAUUACAACACAACAAACUGAUUGCAAAAUCAGCAUUUUUGACACCUAAAAACACAGAAACAGCCUCACUCAACAUUCCCCUUUUCCUGUACACAUCGAUCAACAACUCAAACACGACAGAACUUGAUCUAAACCUCUCACAUUCCUUAUAAACAUUCAAAAUUGAGCUACGAAUAUCAAAAACCGAAACCCGGGCAUCCACCAACUUGCUCAACAAAUCAAUGGCAGGUAAAUAAAUUUUAGAACUGCAUAAAACUAAUGCGAGAAUUGAAAAGGAAUGAAGAUCUUGAAAGGUACCCAGAUGAUUAGUUGACCAGUUGAAGAAAUCAAGGAGGCGCUUCGGAUGAAUCGAAAAAUCAGUUCUUUGCAGGACUGAAUGCAUCACAUCACUGUUAAUUCUUUGUGGAAUAUGUGAGGAUUCCAAUAAAUAUUUCCAAUUACUGUGCUUCAGAAUCAUAGUGAUUUCUUCAACUGUGGCUUCAUUUUCAGCAGAAAUUUGGUCAAAUUUUAUGGAAACACAAAGAUGCCUUGUUUUAUUGAUUAUAUGGUUUUGCGCGAUGUACAAGGCACAGGCUUUAUUUGAGAAUAAUGCCAUCAUUUUUAAGCUUUAUUUCUUUUGUGGGGGAAUUUAUACGUGAGAUUAGAGCAGCUCCAUGUCUAUGCUGGAGAAGAAUGCGAGUGCAGGGUAUGAAAAGCCGGUUUUUUUUUUUUUUUUUUUUUUU